Molecule: non-coding RNA, 246 nt
Organism: Ceratotherium simum simum (southern white rhinoceros)
Lineage: Eukaryota; Metazoa; Chordata; Mammalia; Perissodactyla; Rhinocerotidae
Source: RefSeq, a predicted model, not a curated record
AAAACCUUGGUCACUGCCAUUAUCAUUGAGCGGCUCUGGGGCUGAGUGGGCUGGCAGCCUGAGGGCUGCCUCGGGGUGGGCCCCAGGUCUCAGAGGCAUGAGGCUGGCCAGCUUUUUGAGAAGUCCCCUCAGUCCACACACCCACUCCUCCAGCUUGUGGAGGACAGGGUGCAGGUUUUAAUGUGGACUCCCAGGUGCCCAUCAAGUGACACACCUCCUGGGGUUUCCCCAGGACCAGUGAGGAGA